AUGACAAAAAAAAGGGGCCCAGGUGGAAGAAUGGAAGCCUGUCUUGCAGCUUCUUUGCAACAAAAGAGGGCACUCACGUUUGAGAUUUUCCAAUGUCUGGCACAUUCAUCCCUCUGCAGUCAAGCCACAGCAAAUGUCUGGAAUUACUCUACUGAAAGCUCCUUCCAGGAUACCGUCCAUAUGCAUCUUUGUAUCUCACCGUACUCUCCCCCAGUGCCUCCCGCAAUGCUGCCUGCUAAUAGGAGGAGCUCAACCAGUUUCUUUCAAAGGUAACAUCUCAAAGGUCUUUAUAGGCAUACACUAUGGCUUCAACA
This 314-nucleotide long non-coding RNA is filed under the name Mustela putorius furo (domestic ferret). RNAcentral's name for it is "lncRNA (ENSMPUG00000029327.1)". The record is from RNAcentral. Lineage: Eukaryota; Metazoa; Chordata; Mammalia; Carnivora; Mustelidae.